RNAcentral lists this ribosomal RNA (253 nucleotides) under uncultured bacterium. RNAcentral's name for it is "partial 16S ribosomal RNA". It matches the Rfam family "Bacterial small subunit ribosomal RNA", at positions 524 to 776 of the family's 1533-position model. The record is from RNAcentral.
GACAGAGGUGCCGAGCGUUAGGCGGAAUCACUGGGCUUAAAGCGUGUGUAGGCGGACUUCUAAGUACCUUGUGAAAUCCCACGGCUCAACCGUGGAACUGCUCGGUAUACUGGUCGUCUUGAGCCACCUAGGGGCGAGCGGAACAAGCGGUGGAGCGGUGAAAUGCGUAGAUAUCGCUUGGAACGCCAACGGUGAAAACAGCUCGCUGGGGGUGUGCUGACGCUGAGACACGAAAGCCAGGGGAGCGAACGGG